GGCCUGGUAGCCAAGUGGUAAGGCAGCGGUCUGCAAAACCGCGUACACGGGUUCGAUUCCCGUCCAGGCCU
Candidatus Doudnabacteria bacterium RIFCSPHIGHO2_01_52_17 is the source of this 71-nucleotide non-coding RNA. The record is from Rfam. NCBI's taxonomy places the organism in Bacteria, Candidatus Doudnaibacteriota.